AUAAAAUUGAACAUCCAGAUCAUUUUUCUGUUGAGAAAAGGCUGUUUUGGAGAAUAUUCAACGUAACUUGAUUAAAUUAUUUAAAAGGAAAUUUCACAAUUUUUUGAAGGAAAUUUUGGUCAAAAUAAGGAGAAAAAAAGGAUUUUUUUGUUUUUGAAAGUGGAAGCACUUAUAAUAGCCAUGAUAAUAGCACAGAGAAGCAGAGAGUAGAUACUGAUAAUCUGAUAUAGUCACAGAGGAGAUACACUAACUGUAAGUUCUUUUUUGAAAACUGCGAAUAAACUUCAAGUUUAAUUUGGUUGUUUUGGGCUUCUCAUAACAAGGUAUGUUCGAUCACAUUUAUUUUUUAUCACAUGCAGACAUCUGAUAUAUCUGCCCGAAGCAAAAAGAACAUGCAAACAUGCGUGCAUAGUGACACAAGUUUGUUUUCAAUCUCAGUCGUGUCAAAAAUGAGAUCAAAAAGCUGAAAAAAGUGUUUAAAAACAAAAAAGUCGGUUUUCAUUGCAAGUUUUUCUGG
Molecule: non-coding RNA, 517 nt
Organism: Paramuricea clavata
Lineage: Eukaryota; Metazoa; Cnidaria; Anthozoa; Malacalcyonacea; Plexauridae
Source: the annotation of a GenBank genome assembly